This 866-nucleotide ribosomal RNA is filed under the name Dothideaceae sp. RNAcentral describes it as "SSU rRNA". It matches the Rfam family "Eukaryotic small subunit ribosomal RNA", at positions 242 to 1113 of the family's 1831-position model. The record is from RNAcentral. Lineage: Eukaryota; Fungi; Ascomycota; Dothideomycetes; Dothideales; Dothideaceae.
CUUGGUGAUUCAUAAUAACUAAACGAAUCGCAUGGCCUUGCGCCGGCGAUGGUUCAUUCAAAUUUCUGCCCUAUCAACUUUCGAUGGUAGGAUAGUGGCCUACCAUGGUAUCAACGGGUAACGGGGAAUUAGGGUUCUAUUCCGGAGAGGGAGCCUGAGAAACGGCUACCACAUCCAAGGAAGGCAGCAGGCGCGCAAAUUACCCAAUCCCGACACGGGGAGGUAGUGACAAUAAAUACUGAUACAGGGCUCUUUUGGGUCUUGUAAUUGGAAUGAGUACAAUUUAAAUCCCUUAACGAGGAACAAUUGGAGGGCAAGUCUGGUGCCAGCAGCCGCGGUAAUUCCAGCUCCAAUAGCGUAUAUUAAAGUUGUUGCAGUUAAAAAGCUCGUAGUUGAACCUUGGGCCUGGCUGGCCGGUCCGCCUCACCGCGUGUACUGGUCCGGCCGGGCCUUUCCUUCUGGGGAGCCGCAUGCCCUUCACUGGGCGUGUUGGGGAACCAGGACUUUUACUUUGAAAAAAUUAGAGUGUUCAAAGCAGGCCUUUGCUCGAAUACAUUAGCAUGGAAUAAUAGAAUAGGACGUGCGGUUCUAUUUUGUUGGUUUCUAGGACCGCCGUAAUGAUUAAUAGGGAUAGUCGGGGGCAUCAGUAUUCAAUUGUCAGAGGUGAAAUUCUUGGAUUUAUUGAAGACUAACUACUGCGAAAGCAUUUGCCAAGGAUGUUUUCAUUAAUCAGUGAACGAAAGUUAGGGGAUCGAAGACGAUCAGAUACCGUCGUAGUCUUAACCAUAAACUAUGCCGACUAGGGAUCGGGCGAUGUUAUCAUUUUGACUCGCUCGGCACCUUACGAGAAAUCAAAGUCUUGGGUU